RNAcentral lists this ribosomal RNA (464 nucleotides) under uncultured bacterium. RNAcentral's name for it is "partial 16S ribosomal RNA". It matches the Rfam family "Bacterial small subunit ribosomal RNA", at positions 28 to 507 of the family's 1533-position model. The record is from RNAcentral.
GACGAACGCUGGCGGCGUGCUUAACACAUGCAAGUCGAACGGAAAGGCCCCUUUGGGGGUACUCGAGUGGCGAACGGGUGAGUAACACGUGAGUAACCUGCCCUUGACUUCGGGAUAACUUCAGGAAACUGGGGCUAAUACCGGAUAGGAAUCCUUGCUGCAUGGUGGGGGUUGGAAAGCUCGGCGGUUUUGGAUGGACUCGCGGCUUAUCAGCUUGUUGGUGGGGUAGUGGCUUACCAAGGCUUUGACGGGUAGCCGGCCUGAGAGGGCGACCGGCCACAUUGGGACUGAGAUACGGCCCAGACUCCUACGGGAGGCAGCAGUGGGGAAUAUUGCACAAUGGGCGGAAGCCUGAUGCAGCAACGCCGCGUGCGGGAUGACGGCCUUCGGGUUGUAAACCGCUUUCAGCAGGGGCGAAGCUUGUGGUGACGGUACCUGCAGAAGAAGCACCGGCUAACUACGUG